UUGGUGCCAUGGUGUUCGUCGUCGACGCACUCGCGCUCAGGCUCAUGGGAAGGUCCAGCGAUGUGUUUGAAGAUUGGAGCGUGCCCUCGAUAGAAAGAAGGGAGGCAUCGAUUCUCUCCAGCGAUGUGUUUCCAUCACAGGCACCCUCGCUCAAGGCUCUCGUCAACUCCAAGCGAGAGGCGCCCAUCGAUCUUCAGGUAUGUUCUCUUCUCUCUCUAGGAAUGCUUGCUUUAGAGAAACAAGAACUAACAAGUCCGGAUGAUCUCUCGCUUGAUAAUCCGAACCUCUACUACUGCCGGCUUCUGGAACACAACUCGAAAGUUUGAAGUUUUGUUGUCUGAUUUCCACUCGAAACUAAUCACUGGUGUUUCCUCACACCUGUUUGGAUCACUAUUAUCACUACUGCCGUCAAAUGGCUAUGAGGUAGUCGCAGAGCUCGAUGAACUGGAUGAAACUUUUCCAACUGAUGGUGGUUCCUCCAAUGGUGAUUCUUCAGGCUUGGCUGCUACCACAGUUAAGGUCUGGUAUCAGUUUUUUCUUGCUGCACUGCUUUGUCUAUAUGGGACUGAUGAAAAUUUCUUAAACCAUGCUGUAUCCUCAGAUACUUGGGGUUGUGGAGGAUAAUCAUGAGCUACAACUCCCGGCUGCUGAAAGGAGUGAAUCGUAGUAUCGAUCAUCCCCCCAUGAAUCAAAAGGAAUACAAGAAAUAGGAAAGGAGGAAAGGAGAGAAGGGAACAUGAAAAACCUUCCAUACUCUGUUAGCCACGUCCCUUAUAUCCUACGUUCCGUAUGAUCCAGUCCGUAACACCCUCCCUUACGAAGAACCGACUCUAUCCUCAGUGUCUGAAGGGAACACUGGCUGCCACUGAAAAAGUGUGCGCAAAGAUUCGAGCUCAGCCUGCGUGAUCCAAGUGUCCAUUUCAGAACCCGUUCCCUGCCAACGGAUGAGAAAGUGAGGGACUGCUCGAUGCUCGAAGGAUCCGAUCUGGAGCCAAGAGCUGCUUAUCUUCGAAAGUUACCAAAGGAAGAGGAACUGUGGCCAAAGGUGGAAGAGGUCCGAAGUGCUGCUUCAAUUCGGAAACGUGGAACGCAUCAUGGAGUUUUGUUGAAGCGGGAAGCUUUAGACGAAAAGCAACUUCGUUGAUCUUC
RNAcentral lists this long non-coding RNA (1149 nucleotides) under Selaginella moellendorffii. RNAcentral's name for it is "long non-coding RNA (SMOE_LNC000406)". Lineage: Eukaryota; Viridiplantae; Streptophyta; Lycopodiopsida; Selaginellales; Selaginellaceae. The record is from RNAcentral.